AUAUCCAGCGCUAAUUUUGAGCCGAUGAAAAGGGAAAGGACUGAGAAAAACGGGAAAUUGUGAAAUUCAAGACUUCCUUCAAGAUAUCACACCGGUAAUUAUUUUCACUAUAUAUUACUAUAGAGGGGAAAAAAUCAUUUAAAAUCAGUUUACAAAAUUGAUGCCGAAUAACGCAGUCAGACACGUUCUAUGUUACCCAUCUCGUCUGCCGACACCAGAAAAACAACACCCUACGCGGCAUUUUCGAAAAUAAAUUACUCGCAAACAAGACUACCCUCAAAUCCACGUGUUUUUCACAUGUGUGUAAACAGUCGGAGUGCACCUCAGGAAGUAGCCUCAGCUACCAACAACAAAUAGUUCCUUUAUAUACACUUGGUUAUUUCUACAAAUUAUACAAAAUUUCCUAAUCAGGGGUACAAAAAUUAAGAGAAAAGAAGAAGAGGAAUUGAGAAAAAUCGCGCAAGGAAAAAAAUAUUUCUUUAAAUAUAUGGAACUACAAUUGACUAAGUUCAUUUUGAUUGGACAAUUACUGGUGUGAUACCUGAAGAGACUCCCAACCAUUAAAAUAUAAUUCAUGAUAGAUACAGAAUUUAUAUGGUGUGACCACUGACCUGGCUGGUUUCAAUAUGCCAUUCUGAGAAUUACACUAUGCAGACCUGGAUCAAUGUUUAUAUACAUUGUAGUUCCAAAGUGAAUUUACCCUGAAGUGUCUUCAGUUCAUGCACAUUUUAGAAUGUACGUCAUCAAUGUUCUCCCAAAAGAAAGUGAGCAAAAACUUAUCCAAAGAAUCAACAGCACAUUUUUGUGAAACUUAUUAAAAUGUGCAGGUAAUAUUGCUGUUAAAAUAUUUUGUAUCCUAUGAUCUGUAAUAAAAUACAAUGUAUAAGUGGCAUAUUGAUAUACCUUUAACUUCGUUAUAACUUUUCAACUAAAAUGGGUAGGGAUUUUAUAUUUGCCAUUUUUAUUGUUUGUGACAAGAAAAAAUUGUUUUAAUAUAUAUACAAACUGUAUAUAUAAAAGUACCUUAAUGACCUUUUGACCUACUAAGGCUUUCUGAAGGUACCAAAUUUGAUCUUCUGACCUUGACAUGAAUUUUGACCUACUUGUCUUGAAAAGCGUUAAGUUUGGGGGCAUCCAUGGUUCACAUUCAUGUCUUGUUGCUGUUCAGACUAUGAAAAGAUGUUGCUGUUAAGAACGAUUAUCUAGCACAACCAUUUAAUGCAAAGUUAACCUAAGUUCAAACACAGGUGCUUGUGGACAGGACUUCCGGUACCCCCCUUCUUUUAUUUUUAAAUGUUCAAUUUCUUGCGUAUUUCGGACGUAUUUUGGAUAAAAUAUGUAACUUCAGAGUUUAUCUAUUUCAAUGGAAUACACAAAUCUCGCAUAGAAACCGUUUUUAAAAAUGUCAUAUCACCGAUCAUAAUAUAUGAACAAGGUGUGCAACUCAGCCAGCGACAUGUUGAAAAAAUCUACACCUCGCUGAGAAAUCCUAUCGAAAAAACACCAAUAAUGCAUAUACCAACUGAAAAGAACGGUCAUUCUAAAUCUACUGAUGAUUCGUGGAUUAAAUGCCUCGCUAUUUGGUGCGCAAUAACUACUUCACACCGCUCAAUUUCAUCGUUUUAACCUCGCCACUUCUCAUUUCUGACUAUAACGAACGGAAGUUGUAAUGCUGGAAUAUUUCUGUCGCAGCCAACUAAUUUUAGAACGAGAAAACCCGAGACGAGGUCUUCCGAAUACCAUUAGCUACACGAAAAGGGAAGAGAAUACCGAUCAUAGUAAUCAAGUCUAGCCAAAGAGGAUUUUACAAAUACAGUACCUGAAUAGUACCUAAAAUAGUACCAUAAUUGUACCUAAAAUGUACCCGAAAAGUUUCUGAAAUGGUACCAGGAUUGUACCUUAAAAGUACUCAAAAUGUACCUGGAUUGUAUCAAUAAUGUACCCAUAAUAUACCCUGAAAAUGUAUCGAAGAAA
Ostrea edulis (European flat oyster) is the source of this 1974-nucleotide long non-coding RNA. RefSeq lists it as uncharacterized. Lineage: Eukaryota; Metazoa; Mollusca; Bivalvia; Ostreida; Ostreidae. The transcript is spliced from 3 exons. The record is from RefSeq and is a predicted model, not a curated record.